This 23-nucleotide ribosomal RNA is filed under the name Ilyoplax tansuiensis. Its description in RNAcentral is "partial 12S ribosomal RNA". Lineage: Eukaryota; Metazoa; Arthropoda; Malacostraca; Decapoda; Dotillidae. The record is from RNAcentral.
ACUGGAAGGUGUAUCUAGGAUUA